Molecule: ribosomal RNA, 460 nt
Filed under: uncultured bacterium
Lineage: Bacteria
Description: partial 16S ribosomal RNA
Rfam family: Bacterial small subunit ribosomal RNA
Source: RNAcentral
CCUACGGGUGGCAGCAGUGAGGAAUAUUGGUCAAUGGCCGGAAGGCUGAACCAGCCAUGCCGCGUGAAGGUCAGUGCCCUAUGGGCGUUAAACUUCUUUUGUGCGGGAGCAAUAAUGGUCACGUGUGGCCAGACGAGAGUACCGUACGAAUAAGCAUCGGCUAACUCCGUGCCAGCAGCCGCGGUAAUACGGGGGAUGCAAGCGUUAUCCGGAUUUAUUGGGUUUAAAGGGUGCGUAGGCUGUGAGGUAAGUCAGCGGUGAAAUGCCUCCGCUCAACGGGGUGAAGUGCCAUUGAUACUGGCUGGCUGGAAUGCGGAUGCCGUGGGAGGAAUGUGUGGUGUAGCGGUGAAAUGCAUAGAUAUCACACAGAACCCCGAUUGCGAAGGCAUCUCACGAAUCCGCGAUUGACGCUGAUGCACGAAAGCGUGGGUAUCAAACAGGAUUAGAUACCCUAGUAGUC